UCUCUCUCUUCCGACUCUGUGAGAUAAGCAACCCGCAAAAGAAUGGCAUUGCCAUCAAGCAUCAAGCCUUUUGCUGCCAAGAAAAUCCUCACGAAAAUCUCUUCCUUCACGUUCAAACCACGCACGUCAAGCUAAAAUUUGACUAGAGAAGAUAAAGAGGAAACUGGUGGGAGAAAACAAAACAAGACAUGCAGAGAGUCAAAUUUGCCUAUGCACAGAGAGAAACAUAAUAAUAAGCCCUGUACACCCCGAGCGGCUACUUACAACAGGUCCAAACGCGGGCAGAGGC
Molecule: long non-coding RNA, 289 nt
Organism: Rhodamnia argentea
Lineage: Eukaryota; Viridiplantae; Streptophyta; Magnoliopsida; Myrtales; Myrtaceae
Exons: 2
Source: RefSeq, a predicted model, not a curated record